UACGUAGGGUGCGAGCGUUGUCCGGAAUUAUUGGGCGUAAAGAGCUCGUAGGCGGUCUGUCGCGUCGGCUGUGAAAACCCGGGGCUCAACCCCGGGCCUGCAGUCGAUACGGGCAGACUAGAGUUCGGCAGGGGAGACUGGAAUUCCUGGUGUAGCGGUGAAAUGCGCAGAUAUCAGGAGGAACACCGGUGGCGAAGGCGGGUCUCUGGGCAGUAACUGACGCUGAGGAGCGAAAGCGUGGGGAGCGAACAGG
This 253-nucleotide ribosomal RNA is filed under the name uncultured bacterium. RNAcentral's name for it is "partial 16S ribosomal RNA". It matches the Rfam family "Bacterial small subunit ribosomal RNA", at positions 524 to 776 of the family's 1533-position model. The record is from RNAcentral.